RNAcentral lists this ribosomal RNA (2874 nucleotides) under Picochlorum sp. RCC944. RNAcentral's name for it is "Bacterial large subunit ribosomal RNA". It matches the Rfam family "Bacterial large subunit ribosomal RNA". The record is from RNAcentral. Lineage: Eukaryota; Viridiplantae; Chlorophyta; Trebouxiophyceae.
AAAUAAGGGCAUUUGGUGGAUGCCUUGGUGCUGAGAGGCGAUGAAGGACGUGACACGCUGCGAAAAGCCGUGGGGAGCUGCGAGUAAGCUUUGAUCCGCGGAUAUCCGAAUGGGGAAACCCGGCCGUAAGGUCAUCCGUACAUGAAUACAUAGUGUGCGGAAGCAAACCUGGUGAACUGAAAUAUCUAAGUAGCCAGAGGAAAGGACAUCAACCGAGACUCCGUUAGUAGUGACGAGCGAACGCGGACCAGGCCAGUGGCCAAUUAGAAGAAACCGGAACCGUCUGGAAAGUCGGGCCGUAGCGGGUGAUAGCCCCGUACGGGUAAAGCUUCUUUUUGGUCCUUGAGUAGGGCGGGGCACGUGAAACCCUGUCUGAACGUGGGGGGACCACCCUCCAAGCCUAAGUACUCCUCAGCGACCGAUAGUGAACAAGUACCGUGAGGGAAAGGUGAAAAGCACCCCGAUGAGGGGAGUGAAAUAGACCUGAAACCGAAUGCCUACAAGCAGUGGGAGCCCCCUCGUGGGGUGACUGCGUACCUUUUGUAUAAUGGGUCAGCGAGUUAGUCUGUCGAGCAAGCUUAAGCCGUUAGGUGUAGGCGUAGCGAAAGCGAGUCUUAAUAGGGCGUCGAGUUCGUCGGAUUAGACCCGAAACCGGGUGAUCUAGCCAUGGACAGGCUGAAGGUGCGGUAACACGCACUGGAGGACCGAACCCACGUCUGUUGAAAAAGACGGGGAUGACCUGUGGCUAGGGGUGAAAGGCCAAUCAAACUCGGAAAUAGCUGGUUCUCCGCGAAAUCUAUUUAGGUAGAGCGUCAUCCGAAUACCCUCGGGGGUAGAGCACUGGAUGGGCUAGGGGGGCGCGAGCCUUACCAAACCUAACCAAACUCCGAAUACCGAGGAGUACUAGAUGGCAGACACACUGCGGGUGCUAAGGUCCGUAGUGGAGAGGGAAACAGCCCUGACCACCAGCUAAGGUCCCUAAGUUAUCACUAAGUGGGAAACGAUGUGGGAGUGCUUAGACAACCAGGAGGUUGGCUUAGAAGCAGCCAUCCUUUAAAGAAAGCGUAAUAGCUCACUAGUCGAGUCGGCCUGCGCGGAAGAUGUAACGGGGCUCAAACUGGUUACCGAAGCUGCGGCUGUGCACGCAAGUGCACGGGGUAGGGGAGCGUUCUGUAAGCCUGCGAAGGUGUGUCGAGAGGCAUGCUGGAGGUAUCAGAAGUGCGAAUGCUGACAUGAGUAACGACAAUGGGGGUGAAAAACCCCCACGCCGGAAGACCAAGGGUUCCUGCGCAACGCUAAUCGGCGCAGGGUGAGUCGGCCCCUAAGGCGAGACCGAAAGGUGUAGUCGAUGGGAAACGGAUUAAUAUUUCCGUACCUUGGAUAGCUGCGAUGGAGAGACGGAGAAGGCUAGGUGAGCCGGGCGACGGUUGUCCCGGUUUAAGCAUGUAGGCAGUGGGAUUAGGCAAAUCCGGUCCCACAAUGCCGAGACGCGACGACGACUGCCCUUUUAGGGCGGGAAGUCAUUGAUGCCCUGCUUCCAGGAAAAUCUUCUAAGCUUCAGGCUAUUCGAGACCGUACCCCAAACCGACACAGGUGGUCAGGUAGAGAAUACCAAGGCGCUUGAGAGAACUCGGGUGAAGGAACUAGGCAAAAUGGCACCGUAACUUCGGGAGAAGGUGCGCCGGUGAGGGUGAAGGACUUGCUCCGUAAGCUCAUGCCGGUCGAAGAUACCAGGCCGCUGCGACUGUUUAUUAAAAACACAGCACUGUGCAAACACGAAAGUGGACGUAUACGGUGUGACGCCUGCCCGGUGCCGGAAGGUUAAUUGAUGGGGUUAGCGCUUGCGCGAAGCUCUUGAUCGAAGCCCCGGUAAACGGCGGCCGUAACAAUAACGGUCCUAAGGUAGCGAAAUUCCUUGUCGGGUAAGUUCCGACCUGCACGAAUGGCGUAACGAUGGGGGCGCUGUCUCUACCCGAGACUCAGUGAAAUUGAAAUCGCCGUGAAGAUGCGGUGUAUCCGCGGCUAGACGGAAAGACCCCGUGAACCUUUACUAUAGCUUCACAGUGAACUUUGAGCAUGUUUGUGUAGGAUAGCUGGGAGGCUUUGAAACCAGGACGCCAGUUCUGGUGGAGCCAACCUUGAAAUACCAGCCUGACCUGUUUGAGGUUCUAACUUCGACCCCUUAUCGGGGUUAAGGACACUGUGUGGUGGGUAGUUUGACUGGGGCGGUCUCCUCCCAAAGCGUAACGGAGGAGCACAAAGGUGGGCUAAGCAUGGUCGGACAUCAUGCGGUUAGUGUAAUGGCACAAGCCCGCUUAACUGCGAGACAGACACGUCGAGCAGGUACGAAAGUAGGUCAUAGUGAUCCGGUGGUUCUGUAUGGAAGGGCCAUCGCUCAACGGAUAAAAGGUACUCCGGGGAUAACAGGCUGAUACCGCCCAAGAGUUCACAUCGACGGCGGUGUUUGGCACCUCGAUGUCGGCUCAUCACAUCCUGGGGCUGAAGCCGGUCCCAAGGGUAUGGCUGUUCGCCAUUUAAAGUGGUACGCGAGCUGGGUUUAGAACGUCGUGAGACAGUUCGGUCCCUAUCUGCCGUGGACGUUGGAGAUUUGAGGAAAGCUGCUCCUAGUACGAGAGGACCGGAGUGGACGAACCGCUGGUGUUCGGGUUGUGUCGCCAGACGCAUUGCCCGGUAGCUAUGUUCGGAUAGGAUAACCGCUGAAAGCAUCUAAGCGGGAAGCCCCUUCCAAGAUGAGAUCUCCCUGGACCCUUGAGGUCCCUGAAGAGCCGUUCAAGACCAGGACGUUGAUAGGUCGGGUGUGUAAGCGCUGCGAGGCGUUGAGCUAACCGAUACUAAUUGCUCGUGAGGCUUGAC